UGGAGUCGCCCUGCCUCGAGUUGAAUCCUCAUUUCCUCAGUUCCUCAGCCGAAAACUCUCUCGGCCCCGACUUUUUCCUCAUCUCUCAAUCGAAUCCUCGCCGCCACCGGACGCCACCAAUCAAUUCCGGUGACACAAAGAUGGGAACUCAGGAAGACAGGAACUCACAGCAGCUUUCCAUCUCUCUUUCCAUCGGUAAGCAACAAGUAGAGAUUGAAGAAGACUGGGCUGAAGCUGUUGAAGAAGUCAGCGACUGAAGCUGAACGACACCGCCUCAGACCUGCUAACUGUGAUCCAGAUUUGCUUACAUUUGAGAUGAAGAAGAAGAAGAAAAGGGGGAUGUCACGUAAUAAGCACUUGGAGUCCCCAAAUAAAUACCAAUGAUUGAAUGGUAAUGAUAGACAUCGCUCCUAUAUUGUUAAUCUAUUACAUCCUCUCGGAAGAAUGUUUGAAAUCCAGCUCCUUUUGCAGGGUUCUUGUUUAAUGUGGAUUUUGAGGACAUAUUACAACGGAUAACUGCUGCUAAUUGUCUUAAUACAUGUCUGUUAACGCAACGUCUCUAGUCCACUCAUAAAUAAGAUGUUCUACUGUUUUUGAGACCUUUUUACCAGUUUGUUACUGGUUGCUAACUCCAUUGUAGUUCUGUGGCACCCAAAGAGUAUCCUAUAUAUGUGCAGAAUAUACUUGGCUUGAGCAUGGAAUAUACUUGCAGAAUAUCCUAUCUAUAGUUUGCAUUCUGUACUUAUAGAAUGUGAUACUUGGUGUGCUCAAUUGCCUACUUUUAUGCGACUGAAAUUUGAAUCUCAUCUCAGUGAGUUAUAUGUAAAUCUUCAUUCCUUUACUGGGGCUCAUUUAUGAGUUAUCUAGCGCCCUCAAGCCCCCAUUUUCCAACAAAAUGUUUGCUUUUGAGUUUGGAUUAGAAUGAUUUGGUUGUUUAAUUAGCUGGAGGUGUAUCUAUUUCUCUUCUAUCUUUGUUUUUUCUUUUUGGUGUGAAAACUUGACGUGUGAUUAAGUUUGGAUGGACUGUUUGUUUACUUCCAGAAGACUAUAAGCUUGAGUAAUGUUUCUUUCUCUUUCAAUAUGUAAUCAGUUUCUACUAGUAUUUAGCAAGGGAGGAAGAAGUUAAGAAGAGGCUUUGUGUUGACUGUGUUCCGAUUGAAAGGUAAGUAAUGAGAUGUGCUUUUGUGCUUUUGUUUAACAGAUUUCAUUGAUUUACUUUUAUUAUUGCUAAUUUUUUGUUAUUAUUGUUGUAGAUUAGCUUGGAAUAGACUUGCAGAUUUGGGCUAGUUCUAGAUUUGAUAUUGCUGAAAAUGAAGAUUUGGGCUGUUUUCUGUUUUGUAAUUGUAUUGCAGUUUAUGUAUUUUGUUUCUGUUUGCAGUUUUAUUUUUGCAGUUUCUGUUUGGUCUAUAUACAUUGCAGUUUUUGUUUGGUCUAUAUACAUUGCAGUUUUUGUUUUUUUGUUUUGUAUUGCAGUUUGAUUUUUGCACUUUCUUACUGCAGUUUCUGUUUUUGGUUUCUUAUUGCAGUUUGUGCUUUAUACUAGUGCUCAUUAACUUUCAUAUUCUGUUUUCACUUUCUUAAUGCAGUUUCUGUUCUGUUUUGCAGAUCAACACUAGUGUUGGUGAAUCUACAACACCAAUACCUCCCCACGAAGGAACUUCUACUGCAACUAGUUUUAGUGAACUUAUACUUCUUUGAUGUAAUGGACUUUUAUAAAUUAUGGACUAUAUUUUUUGACCAUUUCAUAUGUUGAUGCUAGAAUUUGAUGGACUAUUGGACUAUAUCAAUUGAAUUAUAUGGACUAUGGAGUAUUGAAUUAUA
Molecule: long non-coding RNA, 1821 nt
Organism: Rosa rugosa (rugosa rose)
Lineage: Eukaryota; Viridiplantae; Streptophyta; Magnoliopsida; Rosales; Rosaceae
Exons: 3
Source: RefSeq, a predicted model, not a curated record